UGCCGCCGCCGCGGUAAUACCGGCAGCCCGAGUGAUGGCCGAUCUUAUUGGGCCUAAAGCGUCCGUAGCUGGCCGCGCAAGUCCAUCGGGAAAUCCACCUGCUCAACAGGUGGGCGCCCGGUGGAAACUGUGCGGCUUGGGACCGGAAGGCGCGACGGGUACGUCCGGGGUAGGAGUGAAAUCCCGUAAUCCUGGACGGACCGCCGAUGGCGAAAGCACGUCGCGAGAACGGAUCCGACAGUGAGGGACGAAAGCCAGGGUCUCGAACCGGAUUAGAAACCCGUGUAGUCC
This 291-nucleotide ribosomal RNA is filed under the name uncultured bacterium. RNAcentral describes it as "partial 16S ribosomal RNA". It matches the Rfam family "Archaeal small subunit ribosomal RNA", at positions 456 to 747 of the family's 1478-position model. The record is from RNAcentral.